UACGUAGGGGCGUAGCGUUAUCCGGAAUUACUGGGCGUAAAGGGUGCGUAGGUGGUUUCUUAAGUCAGAGGUGAAAGGCUAUGGCUCAACCGUAGUAAGCCUUUGAAACUGGGAUACUUGAGUGCAGGAGAGGAGAGUGGAAUUCCUAGUGUAGCGGUGAAAUGCGUAGAUAUUAGGAGGAACACCAGUUGCGAAGGCGGCUCUCUGGACUGUAACUGACACUGAGGCACGAAAGCGUGGGCAGCAAACAGGAUUAGAUACCCUGGUAGU
RNAcentral lists this ribosomal RNA (270 nucleotides) under uncultured prokaryote. RNAcentral describes it as "partial 16S ribosomal RNA". It matches the Rfam family "Bacterial small subunit ribosomal RNA", at positions 524 to 794 of the family's 1533-position model. The record is from RNAcentral.